This 450-nucleotide ribosomal RNA is filed under the name uncultured bacterium. RNAcentral describes it as "partial 16S ribosomal RNA". It matches the Rfam family "Bacterial small subunit ribosomal RNA", at positions 354 to 796 of the family's 1533-position model. The record is from RNAcentral.
GUGGGGAAUUUUGGACAAUGGGCGCAAGCCUGAUCCAGCAAUGCCGCGUGCAGGAAGAAGGCCUUCGGGUUGUAAACUGCUUUUGUACGGAACGAAACGGUCCUGGCUAAUAUCCGGGGCUAAUGACGGUACCGUAAGAAUAAGCACCGGCUAACUACGUGCCAGCAGCCGCGGUAAUACGUAGGGUGCGAGCGUUAAUCGGAAUUACUGGGCGUAAAGCGUGCACAGGCGGUGCUGUAAGACAGGCGUGAAAUCCCCGGGCUCAACCUGGGAAUUGCGCUUGUGACUGCAGUGCUGGAGUGCGGCAGAGGGGGAUGGAAUUCCGCGUGUAGCAGUGAAAUGCGUAGAUAUGCGGAGGAACACCGAUGGCGAAGGCAAUCCCCUGGGCCUGCACUGACGCUCAUGCACGAAAGCGUGGGGAGCAAACAGGAUUAGAAACCCGUGUAGUCC